GCCAGACUCCUACGGGAGGCAGCAGUGGGGAAUAUUGCACAAUGGGGGAAACCCUGAUGCAGCGACGCCGCGUGAGUGAAGAAGUAUCUCGGUACGUAAAGCUCUAUCAGCAGGGAAGAAAAAAAGUCUUUGGCUUUGGACGGUACCUGACUAAGAAGCCCCGGCUAACUACGUGCCAGCAGCCGCGGUAAUACGUAGGGGGCAAGCGUUAUCCGGAUUUACUGGGUGUAAAGGGAGCGUAGACGGCAACGCAAGUCUGGAGUGAAAGCCCGGGGCCCAACCCCGGGACUGCUCUGGAAACUGCGGCGCUGGAGUACGGGAGGGGCAGGCGGAAUUCCUGGUGUAGCGGUGAAAUGCGUAGAUAUCAGGAGGAACACCGGCGGCGAAGGCGGCCUGCUGGACCGUGACUGACGUUGAGGCUCGAGAGCGUGGGGAGCAAACAGGAUUAGAUACCCGUGUAA
Molecule: ribosomal RNA, 461 nt
Filed under: uncultured bacterium
Lineage: Bacteria
Description: bacterial SSU rRNA
Rfam family: Bacterial small subunit ribosomal RNA
Source: RNAcentral